This 658-nucleotide ribosomal RNA is filed under the name uncultured archaeon. RNAcentral's name for it is "bacterial SSU rRNA". It matches the Rfam family "Archaeal small subunit ribosomal RNA", at positions 165 to 827 of the family's 1478-position model. The record is from RNAcentral.
CAGUGCUGGAAUGCUAGGUGGUUUAAAGGUAACGCCCUUGGAUGGGUCUGCGGCGGAUUAGGUUGACGCCGGUGUAACGUACCGGCGUGCCUGUAAUCCGUACGGGUUGUGGGAGCAAGAGCCCGGAGAUGGAUUCUGAGACACGAAUCCAGGCCCUACGGGGCGCAGCAGGCGCGAAAACUCUACAAUGCAGGCAACUGCGAUAGGGGGACAUCGAGUGGCAUCCACCUUGGGUGCCUGUCCAACCGUCUAAAAACGGUUGUUAGCAAGGGCCGGGUAAGACCGGUGCCAGCCGCCGCGGUAAUACCGGCGGCUCGAGUGGUGGCCGAUAUUAUUGAGUCUAAAGGGUCCGUAGCCGGCUUUGCAAGUCCCCUGGGAAAUCCAGCGGCUUAACCGUUGGGCUUCCAUGGGAUACUACAUUGCUUGGGACUGGGAGAGGUAGGAGGUACUCGGGGGGUAGGGGUGAAAUCCUGUAAUCCUCCGGGGACCACCGGUGGCGAAGGCGUCCUACCAGAACAGGUCCGACGGUGAGGGACGAAAGCUAGGGGCACGAACCGGAUUAGAUACCCGGGUAGUCCUAGCCGUAAACGAUGCCCGCUAGGUGUCACGACGGUCGUGAAUCGUCGUGGUGCCGUAGGGAAGCCGCGAAGCGGGCCAC